AAUGGGGGAAACCCUGACGCAGCAACGCCGCGUGAGUGAUGAAGGCCUUCGGGUCGUAAAGCUCUGUCGAGAGGGAAGAAGUGAUUGAGGGUUAAUACCCCUUGAUCUUGACGGUACCUCCGAAGGAAGCACCGGCUAACUCCGUGCCACCAGCCGCGUUAAUACGGAGGGUGCAAGCGUUGUUCGGAAUUAUUGGGCGUAAAGCGCGUGUAGGCGGUUUCUCAAGUCUGAUGUGAAAGCCCCGGGCUCAACCUGGGAAGUGCAUUGGAAACUGGGGGACUUGAAUCCGGGAGAGGGCAGUGGAAUUCCUAGUGUAGGAGUGAAAUCCGUAGAUAUUAGGAGGAACACCGGUGGCGAAGGCGGCUGCCUGGACCGAUAUUGACGCUGAGGCGCGAAAGCGUGGGGAGCAAA
This 411-nucleotide ribosomal RNA is filed under the name uncultured bacterium. RNAcentral's name for it is "bacterial SSU rRNA". It matches the Rfam family "Bacterial small subunit ribosomal RNA", at positions 370 to 772 of the family's 1533-position model. The record is from RNAcentral.